UACGUAGGGUGCGAGCGUUGUCCGGAAUUAUUGGGCGUAAAGAGCUUGUAGGCGGUUUGUCGCGUCUGCCGUGAAAAUCCGGGGCUCAACCCCGGACUUGCGGUGGGUACGGGCAGACUAGAGUGUGGUAGGGGAGACUGGAAUUCCUGGUGUAGCGGUGAAAUGCGCAGAUAUCAGGAGGAACACCUAUGGCGAAGGCAGCUCUCUGGGACGGUACUGACGCUGAGACGCGAAAGCGUGGGGAGCGAACAGG
This 253-nucleotide ribosomal RNA is filed under the name uncultured bacterium. RNAcentral's name for it is "partial 16S ribosomal RNA". It matches the Rfam family "Bacterial small subunit ribosomal RNA", at positions 524 to 776 of the family's 1533-position model. The record is from RNAcentral.